UGCCUGACGGCCAUAGCGCCGUGGAACCACCUGAUCCCAUGCCGAACUCAGAAGUGAAACGCGGUAGCGCCGAUGGUAGUGUGGCAUUCGCCAUGCGAGAGUAGGACACUGUCAGGCA
This 118-nucleotide ribosomal RNA is filed under the name Aeromonas australiensis. Lineage: Bacteria; Pseudomonadati; Pseudomonadota; Gammaproteobacteria; Aeromonadales; Aeromonadaceae. The record is from RNAcentral.